AAAAGCUCAAAUUUAAAAUCUGGCGGUUUGGCCGUCCGAGUUGUAGUCUGGAGAAGUGCUUUCCGCGCUGGACCGUGUAUAAGUCUCUUGGAACAGAGCGUCAUAGAGGGUGAGAAUCCCGUCUUUGACACGGACUACCAGCUUUGUGAUGCGCUCUCAAAGAGUCGAGUUGUUUGGGAAUGCAGCUCAAAAUGGGUGGUA
RNAcentral lists this ribosomal RNA (201 nucleotides) under Neofavolus alveolaris. Its description in RNAcentral is "partial large subunit ribosomal RNA". It matches the Rfam family "Eukaryotic large subunit ribosomal RNA", at positions 103 to 301 of the family's 3401-position model. Lineage: Eukaryota; Fungi; Basidiomycota; Agaricomycetes; Polyporales; Polyporaceae. The record is from RNAcentral.